RNAcentral lists this transfer RNA (72 nucleotides) under Bos taurus (domestic cattle). It matches the Rfam family "tRNA". Rfam says of the family: Transfer RNA (tRNA) molecules are approximately 80 nucleotides in length. Their secondary structure includes four short double-helical elements and three loops (D, anti-codon, and T loops). The record is from Rfam by way of RNAcentral. RNAcentral also lists the same sequence under 4 other names. Lineage: Eukaryota; Metazoa; Chordata; Mammalia; Artiodactyla; Bovidae.
UCCCUGGUGGCUCAGAUGGUAAAGAAUCUGCUUGCAAUGCAGGAGACCUGGGUUCAAUCCCUGGAUUGGGAA